AUUUUAACUACAUAGAAAUCAAAUUUCACGCACUUUCGAUAUUGUUCUUUUAUCCAUCUAGUGAACAAAAAAUGAAUGGCUGAAAAUGAAUAUUCUUUAAAAAAUGAUGAUAGGAGUCUUGUAAUCAAGAUCAAGAGUAUAGAUCUUGUUUUAAAUAGUUUAAAAAAUUUUCUAACAAAAAUUCAAUUGAUUUGGAUAUCUUUACACCGUUAAACGAGAAAACGUCUUUUAUCCACCAUUAAAAUUACAAAUUUUGAAACCCUUUGAUCAUUAGGCAAAUGAUGUCGAAAAGAUUUGAAAUUUGAUUUCUAAACACUUCAAGUGGUAUAGAUCAUGUUCAACAGAGCCGAUCGUCAAUUUGGAAGCUCUAUCAUCAGAAACAACUCGAUAGUAAAACGCCCCGUUUACUAUCGAGAGUAUUCUAGCUCAACUCUCUCUCUCUCUCUCUCUCUCUCUCUCUCUCUCUCUCUCUCUAUAUAUAUAUAUAUAUAUAUAUUGGCCAAUUUGCAUUAAAAAUCCACUAGUUUUGCGCUUUUGCAAAAGUGGACCACAUAUUUUGAUUUUACAUAUCCGGGCCGAAUUUUUUGUAAACUGACCAAAAUACCCUUAUACCUUGUUCUCUCUCCUCUUUUUUUUUCUCUCGUUCUUUUUUUUUCUCGCCGAAGAAGGCGAUAGAGGCGAAGAUGGAAACGGCCCCCAUCGUCUUUGCACCUCAUGCCCUCACUCACCCGCGCACCCCUCGCCCUACUCGCCUCCGACCCCGCCAAAGCCGCGCUGCAACCCGUUUUUUUUUUUUAGUCUCCAACCCUCCUCCACCGCCUCCGCGGCCUUCUAUGACAAUAACGAGGACGGUAAUGCAUCAUCUUCCUCCCCUUUCGCCCUCCACUUUCCCU
RNAcentral lists this long non-coding RNA (893 nucleotides) under Ananas comosus (pineapple). RNAcentral describes it as "long non-coding RNA (ACOM_LNC028164)". The record is from RNAcentral. Lineage: Eukaryota; Viridiplantae; Streptophyta; Magnoliopsida; Poales; Bromeliaceae.